This 252-nucleotide ribosomal RNA is filed under the name uncultured bacterium. Its description in RNAcentral is "partial 16S ribosomal RNA". It matches the Rfam family "Bacterial small subunit ribosomal RNA", at positions 524 to 776 of the family's 1533-position model. The record is from RNAcentral.
UACAGAGGUCCCGAGCGUUGUUCGGAUUCACUGGGCGUAAAGGGUGCGUAGGUGGUUAGGUAAGUCCGAUGUGAAAUCUCCAGGCUCAACCUGGAAAUGGCAUUGGAUACUAUUUAGCUUGAGGAGUGGAGGGGGGACUGGAAUUCUCGGUGUAGCAGUGAAAUGCGUAGAUAUCGAGAGGAACACCAGUGGCGAAGGCGAGUCCCUGGACACUCCUGACACUGAGGCACGAAAGCUAGGGGAGCAAACAGG